RNAcentral lists this transfer RNA (76 nucleotides) under Candidatus Hydrogenedentota bacterium. Its description in RNAcentral is "tRNA-Phe". It matches the Rfam family "tRNA". From Rfam's summary of the family: Transfer RNA (tRNA) molecules are approximately 80 nucleotides in length. Their secondary structure includes four short double-helical elements and three loops (D, anti-codon, and T loops). The record is from RNAcentral. Lineage: Bacteria; Pseudomonadati; Candidatus Hydrogenedentota.
GCCGAGGUAGCUCAGUUGGUAGAGCAGAGGACUGAAAAUCCUUGUGUCGGCAGUUCGAUUCUGCCCCUUGGCACCA